RNAcentral lists this ribosomal RNA (555 nucleotides) under Bradyrhizobiaceae bacterium Z95_1. RNAcentral describes it as "bacterial SSU rRNA". It matches the Rfam family "Bacterial small subunit ribosomal RNA", at positions 60 to 659 of the family's 1533-position model. Lineage: Bacteria; Pseudomonadati; Pseudomonadota; Alphaproteobacteria; Hyphomicrobiales; Nitrobacteraceae. The record is from RNAcentral.
AGUCGAACGGGCGUAGCAAUACGUCAGUGGCAGACGGGUGAGUAACGCGUGGGAACAUACCUCUUGGUUCGGAACAACACAGGGAAACUUGUGCUAAUACCGGAUAAGCCCUUACGGGGAAAGAUUUAUCGCCGAGAGAUUGGCCCGCGUCUGAUUAGCUAGUUGGUGGGGUAAAGGCCUACCAAGGCGACGAUCAGUAGCUGGUCUGAGAGGAUGAUCAGCCACAUUGGGACUGAGACACGGCCCAAACUCCUACGGGAGGCAGCAGUGGGGAAUAUUGGACAAUGGGCGCAAGCCUGAUCCAGCCAUGCCGCGUGAGUGAUGAAGGCCCUAGGGUUGUAAAGCUCUUUUGUACGGGAAGAUAAUGACGGUACCGUAAGAAUAAGCCCCGGCUAACUUCGUGCCAGCAGCCGCGGUAAUACGAAGGGGGCUAGCGUUGCUCGGAAUCACUGGGCGUAAAGGGUGCGUAGGCGGGUUUUUAAGUCAGAGGUGAAAUCCUGGAGCUCAACUCCAGAACUGCCUUUGAUACUGAAAGUCUUGAGUAUGGGAGAGGUG